RNAcentral lists this unclassified non-coding RNA (391 nucleotides) under soil metagenome. RNAcentral's name for it is "partial contains 5.8S ribosomal RNA, internal transcribed spacer 2, and large subunit ribosomal RNA". The stretch from base 1 to 122 matches the Rfam family "5.8S ribosomal RNA", at positions 35 to 154 of the family's 154-position model. The record is from RNAcentral.
GAUGAAGAACGCAGCGAAAUGCGAUACUUGGUGUGAAUUGCAGAAUCCCGUGAACCAUCGAGUCUUUGAACGCAAGUUGCGCCCGAAGCCAUUAGGCCGAGGGCACGCCUGCCUGGGCGUCACACGUCGUUGCCCCCCCAUCUACUCCUUCGGGAUUGCGGGGGGCGGAUGAUGGCCUCCCGUGCGCCUCGUCGCGCGGUUGGCAUAAAUGCCAAGUCCUCGGCGACGCACGCCACGACAAUCGGUGGUUGCGAAACCUCGGUUGCCCGUCGUGUGCGGUCGUCGCGCAUCGAGGGCUCGAAAAAAUUGCUGGGCUCCGGCUCGGCUUUCAACGCGACCCCAGGUCAGGCGGGGUUACCCACUGAAUUUAAGCAUAUCAAUAAGCGGAGGA